CAAGGAUGUGGACUCAGAGGGGUCCAACAGACUUGUUGCAGGCCAUCGUGGGUAUGGUCACAGGUCUGUCUAUUUCUAUGGGGGUAGAUAUGUGAUGGAUGGCCUGAUUUGUUUGGUACGGGCCACAAGCUUGCAGCACCAUUUUUGUGACUGUUUUCCAUGUGUCUAGAUGUCUCUGUGUUGUGUGCCUGUAUUCUACAUAGAGCAGUAUGUGUCUGUAUAUGCAGAUGUGGGUCAACAA
Pelobates cultripes (western spadefoot toad) is the source of this 241-nucleotide non-coding RNA. The record is from the annotation of a GenBank genome assembly. Lineage: Eukaryota; Metazoa; Chordata; Amphibia; Anura; Pelobatidae.